UUGUGAAUUUUUGGAGGUUAUGGAUGACCACCAUUACACUCUCCAUUAAACCCCCAUUACCUCCACCAUUAUUCACCAUUAAGGUCUUGUAACUCAUGACCUUUGACUAGCUUUUCUACACCUAUAAAUUAGGUGCAAUGUAUUGUAUUUUGUACACUUGAAUAUAUGGAAUAAUAUAUUACAUAUUCUCUCUACUUUAUUCUCUACUUCUUGUAUAUUGUUUAUUAGUUUCUCAACACGUUAUCAGCACGAUUGUUCUAUUUUCAUUUUCGAGUAAAGAUGAUCCAAAGAAGAUAAUUACUUCUCAACCAUAGAAGAUGAAAAGGGAGUUGUUUUCAAAUAUUUUAUUGUUGUUUUAAUUUAAUUAAAUAUUAAUCAUCUUAUUUUUGUUGUAGGUGAAUUUUCGUGCAAUUCACGAGUCUGUACUUUGAUGUCUGUUUUGGACAUGAUAUUGUCCGAAUUUCAGAAAAUGCAAAAUACGAAACUUGUAGCAUUUUCUGUUGGCUGUUCGGAACAGUUUGAAUCAUCAAAAUUGGAUCUCGAUCAAGAGAGAUAUGCUUAAAAUACUCAGCUCUGCCAGAGCUGUCCCUUGUGCAAUUUUUUUUGAGAUGAACAUAAUGUUCUAAAAAGAAAAGGGACGAUUAUAGGCCUAGAGCCUAGAUUAAAUACGAGAUUAGAAAUAUCGAUUGAACAUAAGUCUAGAUGAUAAGACUCUUGAGCAUUUGAGUUAAUGGGUAUUCCCCAUUUAUAGUACGAUUCUUUCAUGAUCAAAGUACUAUAACGAUUUUUAUUAUAUAUUGAGGCUUGACGCCCAAAUCGAGCACGUGCAAUCAAGUGACUCGAAGAUUUGAGUGAUAUAUUAAA
Non-coding RNA from Erythranthe guttata (spotted monkey flower), 864 nucleotides. The record is from RefSeq and is a predicted model, not a curated record. NCBI's taxonomy places the organism in Eukaryota, Viridiplantae, Streptophyta, Magnoliopsida, Lamiales, Phrymaceae.